RNAcentral lists this ribosomal RNA (517 nucleotides) under uncultured archaeon. RNAcentral describes it as "bacterial SSU rRNA". It matches the Rfam family "Archaeal small subunit ribosomal RNA", at positions 93 to 593 of the family's 1478-position model. The record is from RNAcentral.
GUAACACGUAGUCAACCUGCCCUAGAGACACGGACAACCCCGGGAAACUGGGAUUAAUCCGUGAUAGGUCAUCUCAUCUGGAAGGAGAGAUGGCUUAAAGGGGCGCGCGGGCUUCUUCCGCGUAUUCGCUCUAGGAUGGGACUGCGUCCGAUCAGGCUGUUGGCGGGGUAAUGGCCCACCAAACCUGUAACCGGUACGGGCCUUGAGAGAGGUGGCCCGGAGAUGGACACUGAGAGAAGGGUCCAGGUCCUACGGGGCGCAGCAGGCGCGAAACCUUCGCAAUGCGCGAAAGCGUGACGAGGUUAAUCCGAGUGGUCCCCGCUGAGGGGAUCUUUUGUCAGCUGUAAAUAGGCAGGCGAAUAAGGGGAGGGCAAGCCUGGUGUCAGCCGCCGCGGUAAUACCAGCUCCUCGAGUGGUCGGGGCGAUUAUUGGGCCUAAAGCAUCCGUAGCCGGUUCCGUAGGUCCUCUGUUAAAUCCACCCGCUUAACGGGUGACCUGCAGAGGAUACCGCGGGACU